GACAGAGGGUGCAAACGUUGUUCGGAAUUACUGGGCGUAAAGCGCGUGUAGGCUGCUGGGCAAGUCGGAUGUGAAAGCCCUGGGCUCAACCCAGGAAGUGCAUUCGAAACUGCCUUGCUAGAGUAUGGGAGAGGGAAGUGGAAUUUCCGGUGUAGCGGUGAAAUGCGUAGAUAUCGGAAGGAACAUCAGUGGCGAAGGCGACUUCCUGGACCAAUACUGACGCUCAGGUGCGAAAGCGUGGGGAGCAAACAGG
This 253-nucleotide ribosomal RNA is filed under the name uncultured bacterium. Its description in RNAcentral is "partial 16S ribosomal RNA". It matches the Rfam family "Bacterial small subunit ribosomal RNA", at positions 524 to 776 of the family's 1533-position model. The record is from RNAcentral.